This is an RNA transcript of Pan troglodytes (chimpanzee), 7319 nucleotides long. It is a transcript of the gene named adenosylhomocysteinase, with no coding region annotated. The transcript has 12 exons. Lineage: Eukaryota; Metazoa; Chordata; Mammalia; Primates; Hominidae. The record is from RefSeq and is marked provisional.
GCGGGAGAGCACACCUGGCCACGGCCUGGUACGGCUGGCACCUGCCGGACCCUGCUCGGGGGGCCUGCGCCCGGCCUCCUAGGCCUGGACCGGACCCUGUCCAGCUGGGCGGCCCCGACGAGCGUCCACCCCUCUCUGGGCCUCCUACAGGGACGGCGAGGGCACCCCGGAGGGUGUAUGAGGAGAGGCCUGGAAAGCGAGCCCCAGGCCGGCUCGGGUCCUCCUCUCCCCUGGGACUUUGGGCCAGUUACCCAACCUGUGGGGUCCCCCACCCCGCCAGCAGGGGCAGCCUUGCCGAAAUCUCGAAGAAAAUUUGGAGUGGUUUGAAAAAUCCUGCUGUCCCACCGAUUGAAGUGUAAUACAGGGAUAGUUAACGUUUACUUAGUGUUUCCUGUGGGAUCGGCACUGCCUUCUAGCUUUAUUCUAGUCUCAUGGCUCUGUAGGGAAACUUCUCAUUUUAUGAUGAGAAUCCUGAGGCAGAGGUAACUUGCCCUCAGUCUUACAGCUGGUGGUGAUGGAGCAAGAUUGGAACGCAGGCCAUCUAGAUCUCUGAGCGCACCCUUUCACCACUGUGUGCAAGCGAAUACACGCGGAACAAUCCUAGUGAAUUUUCAGCAAAAACCAGUUCAGUUUGGCUGGUAGCUUUUCAAGUAACUUUGACACUAUUGGACUGGGUGUGGUGGCUCACCCCUGUAGUCCCAGCACUUUGAGAGGCCGAGGUGGGCGAAUCACUUGAGGUCAAGAGUUUGAGACCAGCCUGGCCAACGUGGUGAAACGCUAUCUCUACCAAAAAUACAAAAACUAGCUGGGCGUGGUGGCGGGCGCCUUCAUUCCCAGCUACUCGGGAGGCUGAGGCAGGAGGACUGUUUGAGCCGGGGAGACGGAGGUUGCAGUGAGCCAAGAUUGCACCACCACACUCCAACCUGUGCAACAGAGCAAGACCCUGUCCCAAAAAAAAAACAAACAAAAAAAGACACUAUUAAGUCUGGAGAAUGCCAUCCACAUUUAUGGAAACACUUGCUGUAUAUCUGGUGAUUUACGUGUGUUUACACAAUAAUCUUCAUAGAGGUGGACGUAAUCCCGUUAUAUAGAGCAUGAAACUGAGGCCCUUGGGAGGUGACUUGCAAAGAUUCUGUUGAAGUAGUUCAUCAAGUUGCUACCAGAGUAGACUGUCUCCAUUGUGUGGAUGCUGAAACUGAACCCAGAAAGGUUAUGUGAAGCCGACAUCGGCCUGGCUGCCUGGGGACGCAAGGCCCUGGACAUUGCUGAGAACGAGAUGCCGGGCUUGAUGCGUAUGCGGGAGCGGUACUCGGCCUCCAAGCCACUGAAGGGCGCCCGCAUCGCUGGCUGCCUGCACAUGACCGUGGAGACGGCCGUCCUCAUUGAGACCCUCGUCACCCUGGGUGCUGAGGUGCAGUGGUCCAGCUGCAACAUCUUCUCCACCCAGGACCAUGCGGCGGCUGCCAUUGCCAAGGCUGGCAUUCCGGUGUAUGCCUGGAAGGGCGAAACGGACGAGGAGUACCUGUGGUGCAUUGAGCAGACCCUGUACUUCAAGGACGGGCCCCUCAACAUGAUUCUGGACGAUGGGGGCGACCUCACCAACCUCAUCCACACCAAGUACCCGCAGCUUCUGCCAGGCAUCCGAGGCAUCUCUGAGGAGACCACGACUGGGGUCCACAACCUCUACAAGAUGAUGGCCAAUGGGAUCCUCAAGGUGCCUGCCAUCAAUGUCAAUGACUCCGUCACCAAGAGCAAGUUUGACAACCUCUAUGGCUGCCGGGAGUCCCUCAUAGAUGGCAUCAAGCGGGCCACAGAUGUGAUGAUUGCCGGCAAGGUAGCGGUGGUAGCAGGCUAUGGUGAUGUGGGCAAGGGCUGUGCCCAGGCCCUGCGGGGUUUCGGAGCCCGCGUCAUCAUCACCGAGAUUGACCCCAUCAACGCACUGCAGGCUGCCAUGGAGGGCUAUGAGGUGACCACCAUGGAUGAGGCCUGUCAGGAGGGCAACAUCUUUGUCACCACCACAGGCUGUAUUGACAUCAUCCUUGGCCGGCACUUUGAGCAGAUGAAGGAUGAUGCCAUUGUGUGUAACAUUGGACACUUUGACGUGGAGAUCGAUGUCAAGUGGCUCAACGAGAAUGCUGUGGAGAAGGUGAACAUCAAGCCGCAGGUGGACCGGUAUCGGUUGAAGAAUGGGCGCCGCAUCAUCCUGCUGGCCGAGGGUCGGCUGGUCAACCUGGGUUGUGCCAUGGGCCACCCCAGCUUCGUGAUGAGUAACUCCUUCACCAACCAGGUGAUGGCGCAGAUCGAGCUGUGGACCCAUCCAGACAAGUACCCCGUUGGGGUUCAUUUCCUGCCCAAGAAGCUGGAUGAGGCAGUGGCUGAAGCCCACCUGGGCAAGCUGAAUGUGAAGUUGACCAAGCUAACUGAGAAGCAAGCCCAGUACCUGGGCAUGUCCUGUGAUGGCCCCUUCAAGCCGGAUCACUACCGCUACUGAGAGCCAGAUGGAGUCUCUCUCUUGUUGCCCAGGCUGGAGUGCAGUGGCACAAUCUCGGCUCACUGCAACCUCCACCUCCCAGAGACAAGGUUUCAACAUGUUGGCCAAGCUGAUCUCAAACUCCUGACCUCAAGUGAUCUGCCCGCCUUGGCUUCCCAAAGUGCUGGGGUUACAGAUGUGAGCCACCGCACCCAGUCCAACUAUUUCUUCAGGUAAAGAUAUUGAUGACCUUUAUUAAAAGGCUAAUGUGCCAAUAAUAUUUCUCAUUAAUUUAUCAGACUUCAGAUUUGUUUUAGUACAGGACUGGGUCCUAAUGAGACAAGAGCUAGGACUGGUAAACUUGGAUUGUGGAGGCAGAGGAAAAAUUACAUCAUGAAUAGUUAUCAUAAUGUUUUGAAACUUAUUAUUAUAUCAUGCUGUCUAGAAUUCAUAAAGAUUCAAUAUAGUAACAUUUGGAAUAGAAAUAUGAAAUAUUUGUAAACUAGAUAAUAUUUUAGUUACAUAAAAUUAAAUAUAUAUUUAAAAUUUUUAUUCUGUAUCAUUGAUCUCUUCCAAAAGCAAUAUUGUUUUUAAUUUUUAGCUUCUGAUUGUUGCUAAAAAGACCAUUUUUCAAAUAACAGCAUCUAGCUUUAAUGGGCAUUAAUUAGGAAGGCAAAUUAGAAAUAAAUUCAACCCGGCUGGGCCGGCUGCUCACGCCUAUAAUCCCAGCACUUUGGGAGGCUGAAGCGAAUGGAUCACCUGGGGUCAGGAGUUCGACCUGGCCAACAUGGCGAAACCCCGUUUCUACUAAAAAUACAAAAAUUAACCAGGUGGUGGCCUCCUGAGUAGGUGCCUAUAAAUCCACCUACUCAGGAGGCUGAGGCAGGAGAAUCGCCUGAACCCAGGGGGAGGAAGUUGCAGUGAGCUGAGAUCGUAUCACUUCACUCCAGCCUGGGUGAAAGAGGGAAACUGUCUCAAAAAACAAAAAAAAAACAAAAAAAAAAAACAAAAAAAAGAGAGAAAGAAAGAAAAAGAAAGAAAGAAAUUCAACUUUAAAAAACAAGGAAAGUAGUAGCCACUACCCAAGUUAAGAAAUAGAACCCCCUCUCCCUCUCCCUCUCCCUCUCCCUCUCCCUCUCCCUCUCCCCCUCCCCACGGUCUCCCUCUCCCUCUCUUUCCACGGUCUCCCUCUGAUGCCGAGCCGAAGCUGGACGGUACUGCUGCCAUCUCAGCUCACUGCAACCUCCCUGCCGGAUUCUCCUGCCUCAGCCUGCCGAGUGCCUGCGAUUGCAGGCGCGUGCCGCCACGCCUGACUGGUUUUCGUAUUUUUUUGGUGGAGAUGGGGUUUCGAUGUGUCGGCCCGGCUGGUCUCCAGCUCCUAACCGCGAGUGAUCUGCCAGCCUCGGCCUCCCGAGGUGCCGGGAUUGCAGACGGAGUCUCGUUAACUCAGUGCUCAAUGGCGCCUAGGCUGGAGUGCAGUGGCGUGAUCUUCGCUCGAUACAACCACCUCCCAGCCACCUGCCUUGGCCUCCCUAAGUGCCAAGAUUGCAGCCUCUGCCCGGCCGCCACCCCAUCUGAGAAGUGAGGAGCGUCUCCGCCUGACCGCCCAUCGUCUGGGAUGUGAGGAGCCCCUCUGCCUGGCUGCCCAGUCUGGAAAGUGAGGAGCAUCUCUGCCCGGCCGCCAUCCCAUCUAGGAAGUGAGGAGUGCCUCUUCCCGGCCGCCAUCACAUCUGGGAAGUGAGGAGUGUCUCUGCCCGGCCGCCCAUCGUCUGAGAUGUGGGGAGCACCUCUGCCCUGCAGCCCCGUCCGGGAUGUGAGGAGUGUCUCUGCCCGGCCGCCCCGUCUGAGAAGUGAGGAGACCCUCUGCCUGGCAACCGCCCCAUCUGAGAAGUGAGGAGCCCCUCCGCCCGGCAGCCACCCCGUCUGAGAAGUGAGGAGCGUCCUCUCUCCUCGUCCGGGAGGGAGGUGGGGGGGUCAGCCCCCCGCCCGGCCAGCCGCCCCGUCCGGGAGGGAGGUGGGGGGAUCAGCCCCCCGCCGGCCAGCCGCCCUGUCCGGGAGGUGAGGGGUGCCUCUGCCCAGCUGCCCCUACUGGGAAAUGAGGAGCCCCUCUGCCCGGCCAGCCGCUCCGUCUGGGAGGGAGGUGGGGGGGUCAGCCCCCCGCCCGGCCACCCGCCCCGUCCGGGAGGGAGGUGGGGGGAUCAGCCCCCCGCCCGGCCAGCCGCCCUGUCCGGGAGGUGAGGGGCGCCUCUGCCCGGCCGCCCCUACUGGGAAAUGAGGAGCCCCUCUGCCCGGCCAGCCGCUCCGUCUGGGAGGGAGGUGGGGGGGUCAGCCCCCCGCCUGGCCAGCCGCCCCGUCCGGGAGGUGAGGGGCACCUCUGCCCGGCCGCCCCUACCGGGAAGUGAGGAGCCCCUCUGCCCGGCCAGCUGCCCCGUCCGGGAGGGAGGUGGGGGGAUCAGCCCCCCCGUCCGGCCAGCCGCCCCGUCCGGGAGGGAGGUGGGGGGGUCAGCCCCCCGCCCGGCCAGCCACCCUGUCCGGGAGGGAGGUGGGGGGGUCAGCCCCCCACCUGGCCAGCCGCCCCGUCCGGGAGGGAGGUGGGGGGAUCAGCCCCCCGCCCGGCCAGCCGCCCUGUCUGGGAGGUGAGGGGCGCCUCUGCCCAGCCGCCCCUACCGGGAAGUGAGGAGCCCCUCUGCCCGGCCAGCCGCCCCGUCCGGGAGGGAGGUGGGGGGGGUCAGCCCCCCGCCCGGCCAGCCGCCCCGUCCGGGAGGGAGGUUGGGGGGUCAGCCCCCCGCCCGGCCAGCCGCCCCGUCCGGGAGGGAGGUGGGGGGGUCAGCCCCCCGCCCGGCCAGCCGCCCUGUCCGGGAGGUGAGGGGCGCCUCUGCCCGGCCGCCCCUACCGGGAAGUGAGGAGCCCCUCUGCCCGGCCAGCCGCCCCGUCCGGGAGGGAGGUGGGGGGGUCAGCCUCCUGCCCGGCCAGCUGCCCCGUCGGGGAAGUGAGGGGCGCCUCUGCCUGGCCGCCCCUACUGGGAAGUGAGGAGCCCCUCUACCCGGCCAGCCGCCCUGUCCAGGAGGGAGGUGGGGGGUCAGCGCCCCGCCCGGUCAGCCGCCCCGUCCGGGAGGGAGGUGGGGGGGGUCAGCCCCCCACCCGGCCAGCCGCCCCGUCCGGGAGGUGAGGGGCGCUUCUGCCCGGCCGCCCCUACUGGGAAGUGAGGAGCUCCUCUGCCCGGCCACCACCCCAUCUGGGAGGCGUACCCAACAGCUCAUUGAGAACGGGCCAUGAAGACAAUGGCGGUUUUGUGGAAUAGAAAGGGGGGAAAGGUGGGGAAAAGAUUGAGAAAUCGGAUGGUUGCCGUGUCUGUGUAGAAAGAGGUAGACAUGGGAGACUUUUCAUUUUGUUCUGUACUAAGAAAAAUUCUUCUGCCUUGGAAAAAAAAAAAAAAAAACAAGGAAAGUAAAGGAUGGAGAUGUGGUGGAAUGUGGUGGGAAGCUCUGAUUAACAAAAGGCUCUUAGCAGGGAGUGGCGGCACAAGACUGUGUUCCCAGCUACUCGGGUGGCUGAGGUGGGAGAAUCACCUGACCCCAGGAAGUUGAGGCUACAGUGAGCUGUGAUUGUACCACUGCACUGUUACCCAGCCUGGGCAACAGAGUGAGACUCUAUCUCAAAAACAAAAACAAAUGAGCUCGAUUAAGGCAAGUUACAAGAGGCAUGUUAUAAAUUAGGAGGCGGUACGUGUAGUUAUUUUGUGUCUUUGGGUUUUCCUUACCAUAAAUAAUAUACUCAUGGGCCAAAAACUGUAAUGGGAAUUUCUACAAAGAAGUGAGAGUGGCCGGAAAAUCUGAGUUAGAAAAAGAGGCCAGGCAUGGUGGCUCACGCCUAUAAUCCCAGCACUGGAGGAAGCCACAGGGGGAGGAUUCCUUGAUCUUAGGAAUUUGAGACCAGCCUGGCAACAUAGAGAGACCUCAUCUCUACAAAAAAUUUUUAAAAAAUUAGCCGGGUGUUAUAGGGUCCAGCCCUACUGGGUCUGUGGGUUUUUUCUCCUCGUGUGGAGACGAGAGAUCGUAGAAAUAAAGACACAAGACAAAGAGACAGAAUAAAAUACAGCUGGGUCCGGGGGACCACUACCACCAAGGCACAGAGACCAGUAAUGGCCCCGAAUGCCUGGCUGUGCUGUUAUUUAUUGGAUACAAGACAAGGGGGCAGGGUAAGGAGUGUGAGCCAUCUCCAGUGAUAGAUAAGGUUACACAAGUCACGUGUCCACCAGACAGGAGGCCCUUCCCUGUUUGGCAGCCGAGGCGGAGAGAGAGGACAGCUUAUGCCAUUAUUUCUUCUAUGCAUUUCAAAGACUUUAGUACUUUUACUAAUUCUGCUACCACUCUCUAGAAGGCGGAGCCACGUGUACGGGGUGGAACAUGAAAGCGGACCGGGAGCGUGACCGCUGAAGCACAGCAUCACAGGGAGAUGGUCAGGCCUCCGGAGGCUGCGGGUGGGCCUGACUGAUGUCAGGCCUUCCACAAGAGGUGGUGGAGCAGUCUUCUCUAACUCCCCCUGGGAAAGGGAGACUCCCUUUCUCGGUCUGCUAAGUAACCGGUGCCUUCCCCGGCACUGAUGCUACCACUAGACCAAGGUCCACUAGGUAAUGGGUGCCUUCCCAGGUGCUGGCAUUACUGCUAGGCCAGGAAGCCCUCUAGUGGCCCUGUCCGGGCGUAACAGAGGGCUCACACUCUUGUCUUCUGGUCACUUUCUCACCGUGUCCCUUCAGCUCCUAUCUCUGUAUGGCCUGGUUUUUCCUAGGUUAUAAUUGUAGAACAAAGAUUAUUAUAAUAUUGGAAUAAAGAGUAAUGCUACAAACUAA